This 302-nucleotide ribosomal RNA is filed under the name uncultured bacterium. RNAcentral describes it as "bacterial SSU rRNA". It matches the Rfam family "Bacterial small subunit ribosomal RNA", at positions 614 to 916 of the family's 1533-position model. The record is from RNAcentral.
CUGGGAACUGCCUUCGAUACUGGCAAUCUAGAGUAUGGUAGAGGGAAGUGGAAUUCCAGGUGUAGCGGUGAAAUGCGUAGAGAUCUGGAGGAACACCAGUGGCGAAGGCGGCUUUCUGGCCCAAUACUGACGCUGAGGCGCGAAAGCGUGGGGAGCAAACAGGAUUAGAUACCCUGGUAGUCCACGCCGUAAACGAUGAGUACUAGGUGUUGGGGGAUUCGAUCCUCUGUGUCGUAGCUAACGCGUUAAGUAUCCCGCCUGGGAACUACGGCCGCAAGGUUAAAACUCAAAGGAAUUGACGG